UGCAGAGCCCCAUCUAGCUCCAGUUCUGCCGCCAACUCCCUGGCACCUUGGACAGAUCCCCUGAUCCUUCAGGCCCCCUCAUCAAGCUUACUGAGUCUCUGGGAGUAGCAGGAGGUCAACACAGAGACAGGUCUCAAGACUUCCUGGCCUCUCCCAUCUCGUGGGCAGUUGAAGGAGCUACUUCCUGUCUUAGUCCCCGACAGCAG
Long non-coding RNA from Homo sapiens (human), 206 nucleotides. RefSeq lists it as uncharacterized. The record is from RefSeq and is a predicted model, not a curated record. NCBI's taxonomy places the organism in Eukaryota, Metazoa, Chordata, Mammalia, Primates, Hominidae. The transcript has 3 exons.